AGUGGCGGACGGGUGAGUAACGCGUGAGAAUCUGCCUUCAGGAUGGGGACAACAGUUGGAAACGACUGCUAAUACCCGAUGUGCCGAGAGGUGAAAAUUUUUUGCCUGAAGAGGAGCUCGCGUCUGAUUAGCUAGUUGGUGGGGUAAAAGCUUACCAAGGCAACGAUCAGUAGCUGGUCUGAGAGGAUGAGCAGCCACACUGGGACUGAGACACGGCCCAGACUCCUACGGGAGGCAGCAGUGGGGAAUUUUCCGCAAUGGGCGAAAGCCUGACGGAGCAAUACCGCGUGAGGGAGGAAGGCCUUUGGGUUGUAAACCUCUUUUCUCAGGGAAGAAGAUCUGACGGUACCUGAGGAAUAAGCAUCGGCUAACUCCGUGCCAGCAGCCGCGGUAAUACGGAGGAUGCAAGCGUUAUCCGGAAUUAUUGGGCGUAAAGCGUCCGCAGGUGGUUUUUCAAGUCUGCUGUCAAAGACCAGAGCUCAACUCUGGGCCGGCGGUGGAAACUGGGAAACUAGAGUUCGGUAGGGGUAGCGGGAAUUCCCAGUGUAGCGGUGAAAUGCGUAGAUAUUGGGAAGAACAUCGGUGGCGAAGGCGCGCUACUGGACCGAAACUGACACUCAGGGACGAAAGCUAGGGGAGCGAAAGGGAUUAGAUACCCC
Molecule: ribosomal RNA, 659 nt
Filed under: uncultured bacterium
Lineage: Bacteria
Description: bacterial SSU rRNA
Rfam family: Bacterial small subunit ribosomal RNA
Source: RNAcentral